RNAcentral lists this ribosomal RNA (440 nucleotides) under uncultured bacterium. RNAcentral describes it as "partial 16S ribosomal RNA". It matches the Rfam family "Bacterial small subunit ribosomal RNA", at positions 338 to 795 of the family's 1533-position model. The record is from RNAcentral.
CCUACGGGCGGCAGCAGUGGGGAAUAUUGCACAAUGGGGGAAACCCUGCUGCAGCGACGCCGCGUGAGUGAAGAAGUAAUUCGUUAUGUAAAGCUCUAUCAGCAGGGAAGAAAAUGACGGUACCUGAGUACGAAGCCCCGGCUAACUACGUGCCAGCAGCCGCGGUAAUACGUAGGGGGCCAGCGUUAUCCGGAUUUACUGGGGGUAAAGGGAGCGUAGACGGCAGGGCAAGUCUGGAGUGAAAGGCGGGGGCUCAACCCCCGGACUGCUGUGGAAACUGUACGGCUGGAGUGCAGGAGAAGUAAGUGGAAUGCCUAGUGUAGCGGUGAAAUGCGUAGAUAUUAGGAGGAACACCAGUGGCGAAGGCGGCUUACUGGACUGUAACUGACGUUGAGGCUCGAAAGCGUGGGGAGCGAACAGGAUUAGAUACCCGAGUAGUC